Molecule: ribosomal RNA, 345 nt
Filed under: Limisphaera sp.
Lineage: Bacteria; Pseudomonadati; Verrucomicrobiota; Verrucomicrobiia; Limisphaerales; Limisphaeraceae
Description: bacterial SSU rRNA
Rfam family: Bacterial small subunit ribosomal RNA
Source: RNAcentral
GCCACGGAGAGUUUGAUUCUGGCUCAGAACGAACGCUGGCGGCGUGGAUAAGACAUGCAAGUGGAACGCUGGUCGUCGGGUAGCAAUAUCCGGCGGCCGGAGUCGCGAACGGGUGAGUAACACGUGGGUAAUCUGCCGCGAAGACCGGUAUAACCCGCCGAAAGGUGGGCUAAUUCCGGAUGUGGUCCCGUGGGGGCAUCCCUGCGGGAUUAAAGGGUGGGGACCGCAAGGCCUGCCGCUUCGCGAGGAGCCCGCGGCCUAUCAGCUAGUUGGUAGGGUAACGGCCUACCAAGGCUAAGACGGGUAGCUGGUCUGAGAGGACGACCAGCCACACUGGGACUGAGA